RNAcentral lists this ribosomal RNA (323 nucleotides) under uncultured eukaryote. Its description in RNAcentral is "partial 18S ribosomal RNA". It matches the Rfam family "Eukaryotic small subunit ribosomal RNA", at positions 1470 to 1796 of the family's 1831-position model. The record is from RNAcentral.
CCCCUAGAUGUUCUGGGCCGCACGCGCGCUACACUGAACAGUUCAACAAGUCUUAACCUUGGCCGAUAGGUCUGGGUAAUCUUUGAACGCUGUUCGUGAUUGGGAUAGACCUUUGCAAUUAUGGGUCUUCAACGAGGAAUUCCUAGUAAACGCAAGUCAUCAGCUUGCAUUGAUUACGUCCCUGCCCUUUGUACACACCGCCCGUCGCACCUACCGAUUGAAUGGUCCGGUGAAAUCUCCGGACUGGCGUGAGUCGGAGCAAUCUGACAAACGCCGGAAAGUUGAUUAAACCUUACCAUUUAGAGGAAGGUGAANUCGUANCA